UUUUUUCCUCAUAUCUCGAAUCUGAACACCCCUAACCGGAUGGCAUAAGUUAGCCAAAGUACUUUUCAUUGCUGGAAAAUGUAUGAUAUUGGCUGUCAAAAAACAACCCAUAGAAAACUCUCUCCCUCUUCUUCCCUACUCAGAUCUGGUUGAAUUUGAAUAAUUUCGUGUUCUUCUUCAUUUAUUGAGAGUUGAGCCAAUGCGUUCUCCAUGUUUGCAGGUGUAGAAUCCCAAUUUUUGUACCUUUCAAUAGAUCCAAGCCACUAAGCAUGCACCUACGUCGCCUUGCAGAGGCCAGACUUCAAAGAACAAGCACUAACAAAAGAACGAAAAAACACCAAAGACCUAAAACUUCUUGCCAGCGGCGGCAGACAAAACCUUGCUAGGGUAGCAGACUAAACAAUGCAUUUAAAUUUUUAAUUUUUUUUUUAAGCAAUGCAGAAGAGUGUUUAGAAGAAUAAAAACACCGUGGGUGAAUAUUAUUGGAAACUGGUGUUUCUAAUAUCGGUUUUAACUUAAAAGAAAAAAAAACAAAAAUAGGCCAUUUUCACUCUGAAAGCGAUGCUUCAAGUUAAAAAAUCUCUCCGAAUUUCAAAUUUAGGCAUGCAGGAGUAAGUGAAUGUGGAUGGCUGGAUACUAACCUUUGGGUCACAGUUGCCAUUCGAAUAAUUUGGGUUCUCCAUUUUUGUUUGAUGUUCAGUAUCUUUGUCUCUAUCAUGCGGGGAACCACAGUUUUUCCAUCUCCAUGUCAAUUGAUCCAUGUACCUUAGGUAUACAUUUCCGUCUGAACCUAUCAAAAGCAGUUGAUUGCCUUUGAAGAAUGGACCAGGAGGAGCAACUAAGUUAACAUCUUUGCAUGGAGUGCCAUGUUCUACCCAGAUCCAACCAUCCCAUGCAUUCCAGUGAUAUUCAACUAAUCCACCAUCUUCUGAAAGCAUGAAAAGUGAACCUGUUAAUGAAAAGAAUGAAGGCCUUAUGGCAGUUCCUGGCAACCUGGAUAGAACCAAAUGCUGAGAUUGGUGAUGCUCAUGCCACAAUUCAGUUACUUUGUUAUACUGGUAGAGCCGACCAUUUCUUCCAACAACAAACACUAUAUUCUCCCUAAAGAUUUCUUGGUCUAUUAUGCAUGCAAGUUUGGUUUCUGGAGGGUUUCGGCAGUAUUUCCAUUUGAACUUUCUCAGGGCAACCUACAUGACAUGUAAGGAUGUUGGUUAGUGCAACACUUUGGAGCAAAGUAACGAAUCUGAAUCACUAGUUUUUGAAGACUAGAUAAUGGAAUUAUGUUAUGUUAACGUUAUAUAUCUUACUCUAGUUUAUCUAGUAGUCAAUUGCCCUUGACGCUGCCAUAUCAUUCUGGAUACUCAGAAUGUGGCUCUUCUUAAGGUAUAAUUUGAAAAUUUUCACUGUUAAGAUGGUUUUAGGUAUAAUAUGGUGAAAAUGUGAUAAACUGAGUCGGUACUUGAAUAUAUAAUUCAAGGCUUGUGUCUCUUAUGGAAGAAUUUCAGAAAUGAAAAAGCAGCAGGCUUGUUAUCUUUUCGUUUUGGCCUUUUAUUUGUUUUUUCUUAUAGGAGGAAAAGAAGAAAGAAAGAAAAUCCUAAACGAACCAUCUUGUAAUUAAUCUGUUUGCUUUUCAGAUUUUAUUUUAUUUGCUACUUACUGUGAACUGAAGUAGUCUUCCACUUUUGCUCACAAAAAAGAGUGCAUCUUCUGCUGUGACUUUCAGUUUACCAUCCCAAGGAGGGCCUGCUGUAACUUGUGUUCCUUUCCUCAUUGCAGUGCAAUUUAUCCAUGCUAGGUCAUUUCCGCUCCUUUCUCUUAUAAGCAAGGUUCCAUAAAUGUCAACAAAAAAUAAACUUCCAUUGUAGUUUCCUAGGGAACCUCUCAUAGGUGUUGAAUGGUCGUGCCUUAACCAGAGCCAUACAUUUUCAGUGUAAAGAUAUUCAAACGUCAAACCCUCAUCUGUUACCAUAAAAAAUGAUACACCUGCUUGCAUCAUCCUCAGUCGGAAAUUAGUGUUAGUCCAGUUAUCUGGGAAACUGUAUUCUUUUGAUGUUUCUGCAAGGGCACUCCUGGAUGUGCUUGGAGAUAAGUACUCUUGUUGUGCUUUAUUACCCUUUCUCCUUCUUGUCAGGGAUCUUGUAUUACCUGCAUCGUUUGAUUCAUCUUUUAUACCUGCUAUGCAAUUCAUAGGUCCACGUUCUUCUGUACAAUACUCAGCAUUCCAUCCUUCUGUCUCAGGCGCAUCUAAUAUUGACCAGACAUACUUAGAGGAUACUUUUUUUCUCAUGUUAAAUUGAUGUGUUGGCCCUGAAUUCUCACCACCUAGGUUAGGCAUAUGUAACUCUGCAAGUCUACCGUCAUCCAGUGCAAACAGGGUCCUGCCAAGUUGAAAUCUUAGUCCUGCAAUACCUCUAGCAGCUUUUGCAUUUGGUGGAUGCAUAUGAUUCAGCCAUGUUACUGAGAUUUGGUUCUCUUGAGCUGUACCUGUCUUCACAUGUAAAAGUUAAAUUGAGGAUCUACUGUGGUUGCCAGAUAUCAAGAAGACUGUAACUAGCAGGUUUGAACUCCACCCAUAUUGGUUGCGAGUUGUCACCGAGUUGCAUCUGAAAAAAGGAAGAUAAAUCAGCCUAUAAUAACAAGGAACCCUUGUGGUCACAAUACAAUAAAUUGAUUAUCAUUUGAGCUACAGAAGUCCAAUUGAGGCGAUUCAAGAUGUGUUGAGAAGCAAAUUGAAAGAGCUACAAGUUGAAAAAGGCAACUUAGGCUAACUCCACUUGGAUCAAACACAAGAUCAUGUCAAAAUUCAUGUGCUGUUUUUGGUCGAGGUUUUGAGUUCAUUAGGGAAUAUGAAUUCAUGUAAAAUUUACCCCCCACCCAUGCACGCAUCACACUAUCCCUCUCUCCUCCCUUUCGUGUCCAACCAUACUGUUGAAGUAUGUGUUCUGUAUUGGUGUCAGCCUUGUUACCUGUUAGCUAUGAUUGAAAUCUAUCUUUAUACCGGUGGAGUUGUGCCUGAGGCUCUCCAUUAAUGUUUUACAUAUUUCAGAAAUACCGUUGGCCCAUUGGAUUCCUUUCCUACUUCUCUUUGUUCCAAAAUAAUUGAAAUUUGGCUUCAUGGUUUU
Gossypium arboreum is the source of this 3122-nucleotide long non-coding RNA. RefSeq lists it as uncharacterized. The record is from RefSeq and is a predicted model, not a curated record. Lineage: Eukaryota; Viridiplantae; Streptophyta; Magnoliopsida; Malvales; Malvaceae. The transcript is spliced from 4 exons.